CUAAACCAUGCACCGAAGCUGCGGCAGCGACACUGUGUGUUGUUGGGUAGGGGAGCGUUCUGUAAGCCUGUGAAGGUGUGUCGUGAGGCAUGCUGGAGGUAUCAGAAGUGCGAAUGCUGACAUAAGUAACGAUAAAGCGGGUGAAAAGCCCGCUCGCCGGAAGACCAAGGGUUCCUGUCCAACGUUAAUCGGGGCAGGGUGAGUCGACCCCUAAGGCGAGGCCGAAAGGCGUAGUCGAUGGGAAACGGGUUAAUAUUCCCGUACUUGGUGUUACUGCGAAGGGGGGACGGAGAAGGCUAUGUUGGCCGGGCGACGGUUGUCCCGGUUUAAGCGUGUAGGUGUGUGUUCCAGGUAAAUCCGGUUCACUUUAACACUGAGGCGUGACGACGAGGCACUACGGUGCUGAAGCAACAAAUGCCCUGCUUCCAGGAAAAGCCUCUAAGCAUCAGGUAACAUCAAAUCGUACCCCAAACCGACACAGGUGGUCAGGUAGAGAAUACCAAGGCGCUUGAGAGAACUCGGGUGAAGGAACUAGGCAAAAUGGUGCCGUAACUUCGGGAGAAGGCACGCUGACACGUAGGUGAAGUGAUUUACUCAUGGAGCUGAAGUCAGUCGAAGAUACCAGCUGGCUGCAACUGUUUAUUAAAAACACAGCACUGUGCAAACACGAAAGUGGACGUAUACGGUGUGACGCCUGCCCGGUGCCGGAAGGUUAAUUGAUGGGGUCAGCGCAAGCGAAGCUCCUGAUCGAAGCCCCGGUAAACGGCGGCCGUAACUAUAACGGUCCUAAGGUAGCGAAAUUCCUUGUCGGGUAAGUUCCGACCUGCACGAAUGGCGUAAUGAUGGCCAGGCUGUCUCCACCCGAGACUCAGUGAAAUUGAACUCGCUGUGAAGAUGCAGUGUACCCGCGGCAAGACGGAAAGACCCCGUGAACCUUUACUAUAGCUUGACACUGAACAUUGAGCCUUGAUGUGUAGGAUAGGUGGGAGGCUUUGAAGUGUGGACGCCAGUCUGCAUGGAGCCGACCUUGAAAUACCACCCUUUAAUGUUUGAUGUUCUAACGUGGACCCGUUACCCGGGUUGCGGACAGUGUCUGGUGGGUAGUUUGACUGGGGCGGUCUCCUCCUAAAGAGUAACGGAGGAGCACGAAGGUUGGCUAAUCCUGG
RNAcentral lists this ribosomal RNA (1166 nucleotides) under Salmonella enterica. Its description in RNAcentral is "partial 23S ribosomal RNA". It matches the Rfam family "Bacterial large subunit ribosomal RNA", at positions 1181 to 2330 of the family's 2925-position model. Lineage: Bacteria; Pseudomonadati; Pseudomonadota; Gammaproteobacteria; Enterobacterales; Enterobacteriaceae. The record is from RNAcentral.